AUGGAAUACGUGGAUCGCUUCUCCGAGUUAUUUGAUCAGCUAGCAACAUGUGAGCAUUAUCCCAACACAGUUCACUAUGCCAUUCAUUUCAUGGAGGGCCUGAAACCUGCAGUUAGGAUUGUUGUACGAAUUCAGCAACCAGUUGAUCUUGACUCCGCUUAUCAACUUGCCCUGCUGCAUGAGGAACCGGACACAGGCAUGAUUGCAAGCAAUUCCAUAGGUGCACCAUCUCUUCACUCCACGGUUGUACCCCUUCCCCUGCCUCCUACCUCGACCACGGUCAGCACCAUGGUUCAACUCCAUGUGGUACAAGAGAUGGUUUAA
This 324-nucleotide ribosomal RNA is filed under the name Triticum aestivum (bread wheat). Its description in RNAcentral is "partial small subunit ribosomal RNA". Lineage: Eukaryota; Viridiplantae; Streptophyta; Magnoliopsida; Poales; Poaceae. The record is from RNAcentral.